RNAcentral lists this ribosomal RNA (487 nucleotides) under uncultured bacterium. Its description in RNAcentral is "bacterial SSU rRNA". It matches the Rfam family "Bacterial small subunit ribosomal RNA", at positions 505 to 990 of the family's 1533-position model. The record is from RNAcentral.
GUGCCAGCCGCCGCGGUAAUACGUAGGUGGCAAGCGUUGUCCGGAUUUAUUGGGCGUAAAGCGAGCGCAGGCGGUUUCUUAAGUCUGAUGUGAAAGCCCCCGGCUCAACCGGGGAGGGUCAUUGGAAACUGGGAGACUUGAGUGCAGAAGAGGAGAGUGGAAUUCCAUGUGUAGCGGUGAAAUGCGUAGAUAUAUGGAGGAACACCAGUGGCGAAGGCGGCUCUCUGGUCUGUAACUGACGCUGAGGCUCGAAAGCGUGGGGAGCGAACAGGAUUAGAUACCCUGGUAGUCCACGCCGUAAACGAUGAGUGCUAAGUGUUGGAGGGUUUCCGCCCUUCAGUGCUGCAGCAAACGCAUUAAGCACUCCGCCUGGGGAGUACGACCGCAAGGUUGAAACUCAAAGGAAUUGACGGGGGCCCGCACAAGCGGUGGAGCAUGUGGUUUAAUUCGAAGCAACGCGAAGAACCUUACCAGGUCUUGACAUCCU